CCUACGGGAGGCAGCAGUGGGGACUAUUGCACAAUGGGGGGAACCCUGAUGCAGCGACGCCGCGUGAGUGAAGAAGUAUUUCGGUAUGUAAAGCUCUGUCAGCAGGGAAGAAGAAAGACGGUACCUGACCAAGAAGCCCCGGCUAACUACGUGCAAGCAGCUGCGGUAAUACGUAGGUGGCAAGCGUUAUCCGGAUUUACGUGGUGUAAAGGGAGCGUAGACGGCAGUGCAAGUCUGGAGUGAAAGGCAGGGGCCCAACCCCUGGACUACUGUGGAAACUGUCCGGCUGGAGUGCAGGAGAGGUAAGGGGAAUUCCUGGUGUAGCGGUGAAAUGCGUAGAUAUUAGGAGGAACACCAGUGGCGAAGGCGGCUUACUGGACUGUAACUGACGUUGAGGCUCGAAAGCGUGGGGAGCAAACAGGAUUAGAUACCCGGGUAGUC
Molecule: ribosomal RNA, 441 nt
Filed under: uncultured bacterium
Lineage: Bacteria
Description: partial 16S ribosomal RNA
Rfam family: Bacterial small subunit ribosomal RNA
Source: RNAcentral